This 18-nucleotide small nuclear RNA is filed under the name Arabidopsis thaliana (thale cress). RNAcentral's name for it is "snRNA_08642". Lineage: Eukaryota; Viridiplantae; Streptophyta; Magnoliopsida; Brassicales; Brassicaceae. The record is from RNAcentral.
AUUCGGGGCGUGGACCGA